RNAcentral lists this ribosomal RNA (497 nucleotides) under uncultured bacterium. Its description in RNAcentral is "partial 16S ribosomal RNA". It matches the Rfam family "Bacterial small subunit ribosomal RNA", at positions 28 to 507 of the family's 1533-position model. The record is from RNAcentral.
GAUGAACGCUGGCGGCGUGCCUAAUACAUGCAAGUCGAGCGAACAGACGAGGAGCUUGCUCCUCUGACGUUAGCGGCGGACGGGUGAGUAACACGUGGAUAACCUACCUAUAAGACUGGGAUAACUUCGGGAAACCGGAGCUAAUACCGGAUAAUAUAUUGAACCGUAUGGUUCAAUAGUGAAAGACGGUUUUGCUGUCACUUAUAGAUGGAUCCGCGCCGCAUUAGCUAGUUGGUAAGGUAACGGCUUACCAAGGCAACGAUGCGGAGCCGACCUGAGAGGGUGAUCGGCCACACUGGAACUGAGACACGGUCCAGACUCCUACGGGAGGCAGCAGUAGGGAAUCUUCCGCAAUGGGCGAAAGCCUGACGGAGCAACGCCGCGUGAGUGAUGAAGGUCUUCGGAUCGUAAAACUCUGUUAUUAGGGAAGAACAAAUGUGUAAGUAACUAUGCACGUCUUGACGGUACCUAAUCAGAAAGCCACGGCUAACUACGUG